This 494-nucleotide ribosomal RNA is filed under the name Salmonella enterica subsp. enterica serovar Enteritidis. RNAcentral's name for it is "partial 23S ribosomal RNA". It matches the Rfam family "Bacterial large subunit ribosomal RNA", at positions 739 to 1231 of the family's 2925-position model. Lineage: Bacteria; Pseudomonadati; Pseudomonadota; Gammaproteobacteria; Enterobacterales; Enterobacteriaceae. The record is from RNAcentral.
GGCAGGUUGAAGGUUGGGUAACACUAACUGGAGGACCGAACCGACUAAUGUUGAAAAAUUAGCGGAUGACCUGUGGCUGGGGGUGAAAGGCCAAUCAAACCGGGAGAUAGCUGGUUCUCCCCGAAAGCUAUUUAGGUAGCGCCUCGUGAAUUCAUCUCCGGGGGUAGAGCACUGUUUCGGCUAGGGGGCCAUCCCGGCUUACCAACCCGAUGCAAACUGCGAAUACCGGAGAAUGUUAUCACGGGAGACACACGGCGGGUGCUAACGUCCGUCGUGAAGAGGGAAACAACCCAGACCGCCAGCUAAGGUCCCAAAGUCAUGGUUAAGUGGGAAACGAUGUGGGAAGGCCCAGACAGCCAGGAUGUUGGCUUAGAAGCAGCCAUCAUUUAAAGAAAGCGUAAUAGCUCACUGGUCGAGUCGGCCUGCGCGGAAGAUGUAACGGGGCUAAACCAUGCACCGAAGCUGCGGCAGCGACACUGUGUGUUGUUGGGUAG